GUGCUCACAUUGGGAGCACAUAUAUUAAAAUUGGAUCAAUACAGAGAAGAUUAGCAUGGCCCUUGCACAAGGAUGACAUGCAAAUUCGUGAAGCGUUUCAUAUUUUU
Molecule: small nuclear RNA, 107 nt
Organism: Cynocephalus volans (Philippine flying lemur)
Lineage: Eukaryota; Metazoa; Chordata; Mammalia; Dermoptera; Cynocephalidae
Source: RefSeq, a predicted model, not a curated record